RNAcentral lists this long non-coding RNA (405 nucleotides) under Sus scrofa (pig). RNAcentral describes it as "lncRNA (ENSSSCG00070006151.1)". Lineage: Eukaryota; Metazoa; Chordata; Mammalia; Artiodactyla; Suidae. The record is from RNAcentral.
AUUUUAGCUGAAAAUCUCUUCCGUUGCAGCUUCGCUUUUAUUGAAAUCAUCAAAAGCAAACUUUCCCUGAGUUUUUUUUUUUUUUUUAAGAAGGCUAAAAUAAUACGCCGACCACUGUGACAUUCUCCGAGCCCAGGCCAUUUUUCAUAACGCCGCGGAUCCGCUUUUGUGCCUCUGAGGCGACUAAACAGAUGAAUAACGAGCAAAGUCUCUCGAAACUAGUUUGAAAAUUGGUUUCUGGCAAGAGGAAAGAAAAGCCUGCAGCACUGAAGGAAGAAUCAAAGUGUUAAAAGGACGCUCAAAAUAUAGUACUGUGGCAGGCCGGGGGGGCGGAGGGCCCAGUGCCGUAGCUCUCUCAACCCUGGCAUUGCAUGCAGGUGAAAUUCAUUUUAGGAUGAUUUUAAG